ACCACACCCUGUUCGGGCAUGCGCUUUGCAGAUCCUCCUACAUAACUUGCGUAGCGUGGUUCGAUGCAUCCGUUAGUGGGACGCUGACUGUGCACCGAUCGAGACGUGGUGCCCAUCUGGGUCUCAAGAAGAAUGGCGCCAAGUAGGGGGCUCACUAUCUUGGGCGAGGAGCAAAGACGGAGGCCUGUUUGGACGGCUUUGGUUUUCGAUCUUCCCUGGCGUGCAAGCGUCAGGUCACCGCCCAGCAGCCGCAGACUUCCACCAAAGGUCAUCACCACCUAUGGCCGACGUCAUCUCGUCUUAGACCAGCUGAUGGAUCUGUUCAGCUCGCUCGAUGUUUCCAGUUGACCCACUCAUCCGCAACCAACAAGCAAGAACCCAAACACAAGCAUUUAAACAAACCCAACAUCAAACUCGUUAUGCAGUCUCACACAUUACUUAAUGUACCAAAGUAAUCUGUGACACCAAGUCAGAAGUACCAAGAGGUGUUUUGAAACUUGAAGCAUAGCCGCUCUUUCGAAUUCGGGGCGACUAACAUCGAACAUCUACCGGGACAAGCUCAGCUUGCUGUAACUCACCGGUCUUUUCCAACAUGGAGUCUACCUCCAUGUGUUUCUUAAUACCCCUUGUACAUUUUCAUUGUAUAUACUGUUUAUUCUAUUUAGUACAGGCACGGUAAGGGGUCCAGAGAGGCCUCAGGACCCUUCCCCCUUUUUCAUCUUUAGUUCUUUUUACUUUGGGAGUUAUCUGACUUGGCCCACACCGGACCGCGCCUGUACUAGAGACGUAGACAUUUAGGAUAAGGUCGGCAGAAAUACAUUAACUGAACGUCAUAAUGUGUUUCUGCUAUUAAAUGGGAUCCGAGGCUCUUUGGAUCCAGUUCAUCAGUAGCCUUCAAGGCUGGAAGAUCUAAUGUUCUAUUAAAGUCACUCUAAGAACCAACUGAUGAAUUCUGUUUCACGAGCCCCGAAUUUCAUCUAAUCGCUUAACAGUGACUACAAGGAAUCCUGAUAUGUUCCAUGAUGGGGAUAAAAUGUUUAAGAAAAAUAAAAAGACUCUAGAGUUUAAAUCCCCUGAUCUAAAGCGCUCACAAUAAUUUAACAAAUUAAAAAUAUAAAAAUAAAAAUAAAAAA
RNA transcript from Spodoptera frugiperda (fall armyworm), 1133 nucleotides. RefSeq lists it as uncharacterized. The transcript has 4 exons. The record is from RefSeq and is a predicted model, not a curated record. Lineage: Eukaryota; Metazoa; Arthropoda; Insecta; Lepidoptera; Noctuidae.